AUGAGAAUUUCCAUUGACGAGUGCAAGGAAAGAACCGCUAGAUUGCGUGCUAAAAAAGAAAGCUUUAUAAAAGCGUGUUCUUCUAGUCUACAUGAAAAUAAUGAUGAGGAUCUUAAAGUUAUUGAUGUGUCUCCGAUUAGAUCUAUUUUUUGCAAUAUGAAUUUUGAUGAUUAUGGGAGUGAUGAUGAAUCCACUUUGCCUAGAAGGCGUCCCAAAAAUUCGGAGUCUUUAGAUCUCGAUGCUAAAAUUGGUAAAAGUGAGAUUGGAGAAUCCUCUACUUCUAAUAAUAUAGAACUUACUAUCUCGGAUUUCAAGGAAUUUGAUUAUGAUAAUUGCUCAUUGAAAGGUUGUAUUUCCUUGUUGCAAUCCGUUGUUAAUUCUCCUCAUGCUUAUAGUCAAAAUAAAGAUUUUACCAAACAUAUUGUUGAUGCCUUGAUGCAAUCUUAUGAUGAAAAACUUAAUUUGGAAGUUUCUAUACCUAGAAAACUUAAUGAUGAGUGGGAACCUACUAUAAAGAUUAGAAUUAAAGAUUAUGAGUGUUUUGCUUUGUGUGAUUUGGGUGCUAGUGUUUCCACGAUUCCGAAAACUUUAUGUGAUAUUCUAGGUUUCCAUGAUCUUGAUGAUUGCUCUUUAAAUUUACACCUUGCGAAUUCCACCAUUAAAAAGCCUAUGGGAAGGAUCAAUGAUGUUCUUAUCAUUGCAAAUAGAAAUUUGGUGCCCGUAGAUUUUAUCGUUCUUGAUAUAGAUUGCAAUCUUUCUUGCCCUAUUAUUCUUGGUAGACCUUUCCUUAGAACGAUUGGUGCGAUUAUUGAUAUGAAGGAAGGGAACAUUAGAUUCCAAUUUCCAUUAAAGAAAGGCAUGGAGCACUUUCCAAGAAAGAAAGUCAAAUUACCUUAUGAAUCUAUCAUGCGUGCUACUUAUGAAUUUAGUGCCGAUGGCACGCGUUAG
This 948-nucleotide ribosomal RNA is filed under the name Triticum aestivum (bread wheat). Its description in RNAcentral is "partial small subunit ribosomal RNA". Lineage: Eukaryota; Viridiplantae; Streptophyta; Magnoliopsida; Poales; Poaceae. The record is from RNAcentral.